CAGGGUCCGUAUGCACGACCGGCAGCGGGGUACGGCCACGUAGCGAGCGAGCGAGGCUACGUGUCUAGGAGGCCUCAUCUCGUAAGAGCCGUGAGACACUCGCGUGUUCCGUUAUGUGGAGGACAGCCAAGCGACUGGAGUUACAGAAGAGGAAGGGAGGAGAGAAGGAGAAAGAAGCGUCUGAGCUGGCAAGGUCUCCUGGCAGCUCCAAGAGCGAGAGCUGUGCUGGAUGUCAGCUGGCACCGUUUCGCCGUGCUUGCCCUUUCUUCUGCCAUGACAAUACGAGACAGAUGGAAAGAAUCCAUAGUGGUCUGCAAGUACAAGGUACGUCUGUGAUGUGUGUCUGCGUUUUUCCAAAGGUACUUGCAGUAUGGACUUUAACAUUAAGAGUGUGCCAACUCUCCUUUUACAUUUUUUUACGUGAAAUAUUGUAACGCAAAUACUAAAAAUAAGUUCUGUUCUGGAGCAAGUUACACCUAUGCAAAGUUUACUUCCCUCCGUUUAUUUUCUCUUCCUGAAAGCAUAAUCUUCUGUUUCUGUGCACUUGCUAGUAAAUGAUAUAGUGAAAAUAAUUUUGUACUAAAAGAGGGAAGAAACUGUUCGUAAGAGUUCAGCUGUUCAGAAGAAACAGACUUUGUUUUCAUGAUAAAAGCUUUAUGCUUUUGCAGUCCAUGAGUUUUUUAAAAUAGCUUAUAGGAGUACUCGACAACCUUACUGAGAUAACUAGCAUCUGUGCUAAAAGCAAUCGAGGUCAAAGAAGAGACGUGGACAAAACAGGACAAAUUGGCGUCGCAUCUGUGUGUUUUCCAGGCUUUCCCAGGAAGCACUGGCAGCCCUGUAACUAGUGACAGUGAGUCCUGAUUGUUUUUGAUGAGUUACUGCUUCAGUAAUGUAUUUUUUCCUUUAACCUACAGCGUGUCAUUUUGACUUCAGUUGGAAAGAGAUUUUCCAAAAUGGAAGUCUUUGUCACUCAAAGAAAUUUUCUUUUAUGAACUUCCCAUCAGAGUGGAUCUUCAGAGGUGAUCGACUUGACAGUAGAAGUCAUCAGUAACAAGACUUUUCACUCUCUUUAAAAAGAGGGGGGGAAAAAAAAAAAAAAAGUCAAUUUCCUUCCAAAGACCCAAGCACAGCCCAUCUUCCUAAAGUUGAUGGCAUCGCUGGUCUUUGGUUUCUCAGUUGUAACAGUCGCGACAACAUGAAAAUGUGUUGCUCUGCGUGCUUCAGUACUGCCAAAAGCAUUAGGAAAUCCGCCAGUCCUUUUUGGUAGUCUGAGGUAUUGCAGCACUGGGGAUUUUACAAAUUGACCUGCAUUGUUUAAAGUGUAACUGCCAAAUAGCUGUAGUAUAUCAUUUAUGAGGUGUAUGUAAGCAGUUAGGUAUUUUUCUAAAUGUUUAAAAAGAGAGGCAACUGAAUGUUGUGGGUUUUCUUUCCUGACGUUUUGACGGAGUGCUCUGAAGUACUUUCUUUCUGUCUGGCUUUCAAUGGUGUGUUUCCCUGGCAGUUCAGUAGCACCUCUCUUGGGCAGCGCAGCUGGCCAGGUGUUCCUCCUCAUUACGUAACACACACAAAAACCCCCUAGUCACAUUAUAACUGUGUACUUUGGAGAUAGAUAAUUUAACGGUAGGAAUUCAGAGCUGUGCAAGUUAAGGUAAUGCAAAAGGAAAAUCAAAUACUUUUACAGUAUAAGUAUUCUUAUUGGAUGUAUAUAAACGUGGGCACACCCUUUGAGUGUAAAGUGAAUUAUUGAGAUUUAUUCUUUAUUUUUCAUUUUGCUCUUUGAAGUUUUCCACUUCACUUUCAGCUUUAUUCACCAAACAAGCAAGAUGCAAAGCAGCAGCAGCAGCGCAAGGGCUGUAGCUGUUGCGGUGGAUCCGUAAGCAUAGAUUCUGAUUGUGUACGACCUCGUCCCGCAGCCUCCCGGGGUUCUCUCCCUGCAGCAGUGCUGUAAGGAAGGGAGGAGACGUUUUCCAACCCCGGCAAGAGUGUUUACUUGUGUGCUAAGCAGGUGUUCAAAAUGGUAUCAAUUAGCCUAAAUGCUGAUUUUAAGUGUUCAAAUAGCUCUUAACUUUUAAAGGAGGGUGGUGUAUUUCGAGCUGACCUGUUUACCUGGAAUCCUCCUUUAGCUCAGCGACUCUCCUUGUGCACCCCCAGCCUCCGCUGGCAGGGCGGUAUGAGAAGCUGGAAGGUCCUUGACUUAGUAUAAACCCUGCUUAGCAACAACUAAAGCGUCGGUGUGUUGUCAACGUUAUUCUCGUCCUAAAUCCAAAAUGGCCCUGUACCAGCUACUCAGGAAGAAAAUUAACUUUAUUCCAGCCAAAACCAGGACAACCCCAAACCCCCCUGAUUCUGGGUCUGCAACAGGGAAAAAAAACAAACGAAUUUGGGACUCCUGGGAAAGCCAAAUCCGCCUGGAUCUGUGCAGCUGGAAAGGAAAAAAUCCCACCCCGUUUUCACGCGCAAAACCACAA
This 2468-nucleotide long non-coding RNA is filed under the name Aquila chrysaetos chrysaetos. RNAcentral's name for it is "lncRNA (ENSACCG00020014395.1)". The record is from RNAcentral. Lineage: Eukaryota; Metazoa; Chordata; Aves; Accipitriformes; Accipitridae.